RNAcentral lists this transfer-messenger RNA (392 nucleotides) under Minisyncoccota bacterium. It matches the Rfam family "transfer-messenger RNA". From Rfam's summary of the family: Bacterial tmRNA, also known as 10Sa RNA or SsrA, is named for its dual tRNA and mRNA-like properties. Its role is to liberate the mRNA from a stalled ribosome. Lineage: Bacteria; Bacillati; Minisyncoccota. The record is from RNAcentral.
GGGACUGUUUGGUAUCGACAGAUUAUGUCUGAUCCAAUAUGCAUGCCGAGCAUGGACGUACUCUCGUAAACCGUCGUCCACAACGAUAUCUGGAAACAGCAUCGCUAAGGUGAAGUCACCAUUUGCUAACGCAUUUGGCUUCGCUCCAGCACUCGCCUAACUUAGGUCAGUCUGGUGUCGUCAUACUUGAUACUCAAUAGAGUACUGACGGCAACAUGCAUUGAGUGUAGGUAGUACUGGUCGUCUCACCAGUGCGCCGAAGUGAUGAGGCUCGGAAGUUGAUCGUUUUGUGUACUCUUUAGAUCAUCUUCUUCAACACAGAGAACACUACGCAUGGAGAUUUGUUGGGUCGCAUAUUCUACACGGGGGUUCGAUUCCCCCCAGUUCCACCG